This is a long non-coding RNA of Brachypodium distachyon (stiff brome), 697 nucleotides long. RefSeq lists it as uncharacterized. The transcript has 2 exons. The record is from RefSeq and is a predicted model, not a curated record. NCBI's taxonomy places the organism in Eukaryota, Viridiplantae, Streptophyta, Magnoliopsida, Poales, Poaceae.
GUCGACAACACAACUUCGAUUGACCGGGACCUAGCUAGCUAUAAAUCGGAGUCUUUGCGAGGCGAUCGGUCCGCACUAUCUUCAGAGUAGAAGCUUAAGCACCGGUUGUACCACCACAGCUGAGAUAAUUAAUGGAGCGAUCUUCUUCUUGCUCAGUCGCUCCAGCAGCCGUGGCAAUAAUCCUGGCCAUCAUAUGCUGCUCCUUGCCAUGCUCGGUGGCCAUCCAAGUACAUGAUCCAGACGGAUACCGUCCGGGACCGAGUCCUCCGGCACCGAGAGCCCAGCCUGGGCGUCGUCCAUAUCCAGAUCCACGACCACGAUGCCCGGGCUGCCCGCUGCCGUCGCCGCACCGCAAGACCCUCCAGCAGCAGCAAAUAGUACAUACUAUCAACUGAUGUAUCGAUGAAUAUUCACCGGAGACGGGGUGGAUAUGUAUUUUACCCGGCCCUCAAGAGACUGCCUCUCGGAAAUUAUUUAUCCCUUUGAAAGGGGAAAUGUUAUGUCAUUCUGCCUGGCUGUGAGUUCACCCAUCGGCCGUACGUGCUAAGGGCGUGGCAUCUAGUACUAGUACUGUGUUCCUAGGGGUCUAGAUGAAAUUGUGGAGAGAUUGGCUGUAUCUCAUUCCAUCGUUUUAUAUCCAUAUUUUGGAAUAUGUUGCAUGAAUAAGCUAAUAUCGUACGCCUUUUUUCUUUGACAA